AAAAAUAUUCGGUCUCGUGCCAAAUUUACACCUGUGUGCACCAUUGUCUGUAUUUGGUAGCUCGAGCGCGCUCCGGAAGCUCAACACUUCCAUUAGGGGCGCCUACUCUUGCGGGUCACAUCCCGCUUGGGUUGGGCUACCGCCUUUUUUUUGAAAAACCUUUUUUGUUUUGUCUUUUUGUCUGAACGAAGAGUUGAUCUUAAUUGAUUAAUGAUUUGAAAA
This 222-nucleotide unclassified non-coding RNA is filed under the name soil metagenome. RNAcentral describes it as "partial internal transcribed spacer 1". The record is from RNAcentral.